AAAACAUUGGGACCAUCAAUCUACUGAAUAAUUUCACCCUUUCAGUGAAAGAUCUUCCCUUUGUCGU
Molecule: microRNA precursor, 67 nt
Filed under: Bombyx mori (domestic silkworm)
Lineage: Eukaryota; Metazoa; Arthropoda; Insecta; Lepidoptera; Bombycidae
Description: mir-2774 microRNA precursor family
Rfam family: mir-2774 microRNA precursor family
Source: Rfam by way of RNAcentral